UACAGAGGGGGCAAGCGUUGUUCGGAAUUACUGGGCGUAAAGGGCGCGUAGGCGGCCUUCUAAGUCGAACGUGAAAUCCCCGGGCUCAACCCGGGAACUGCGUCCGAUACUGGAAGGCUUGAAUCCGGGAGAGGGAUGUGGAAUUCCAGGUGUAGCGGUGAAAUGCGUAGAUAUUGGGAGGAACACCAGUGGCGAAGGCGACUCGCUGGACCGGAUCUGACGCUGAGGCGCGAAAGCGUGGGGAGCAAACAGG
This 253-nucleotide ribosomal RNA is filed under the name uncultured bacterium. RNAcentral describes it as "partial 16S ribosomal RNA". It matches the Rfam family "Bacterial small subunit ribosomal RNA", at positions 524 to 776 of the family's 1533-position model. The record is from RNAcentral.